GCUGGUCUCACCGCUAGGGCCUGGGCAUCACAGGCAGGGGGAAUGGGGAGGGGACGGUAGCGUCAGCCUACACCCACACGCAGGUUAGAGCCUUGGACGGGGAAGCGGAAAAGGCUUAGCAGCUACUAAUGGGUUCUAUUAAUAGUAGUAGUGUUAGGUAGGCUGCACUGGCUGUAUUCUGCCCCCAUGCCUAUCAUUCCCUCACUCUGUGACCCUGGGCGAGUCUCUUCCUCAUCCUGGUGCUCAGUUGCCUUUUCAUAAAGAAAGGGUUGAUUCCCCAUGAUCUGUUGACUCCUUUGCUUUUGGAUAUUUUGGAAGACGCCCUGCGUCACGGGCUAGUUAAUUGUGAACGUCAGGGAAAGCACCAGAGUAGAGAAGCACUUCCAGGAUCCAGAGCCAGGAGGAUGCUCAAAAGGAAGGGAGGAGAGAUGCCCUUCGGCCAAAGGGAGAGCUUGGAGGGUGAGGGGAAGUGGUUGCUUACCAGAAGGGCCUCGGAGUGUGAACUCAAAAGAUAGAGGAUGGCCGAGCGUGGAGGCUCAUGCCUGUAAUUUCAGCACUUUGGGAGGCCGAGGCGGGCAGAUCACUUGAGGACAGGAGUUCGAGACCAGCCUGGCCAAUAUGACGAGACCCCAUCUCUACUAAAAAUACAAAAAUUAGUCAGGCGUCAUAGCAGGCACCUGUAAUCCCAGCUACUUGGCUACUUGGGAGGCUGAGGCAUGAGAAUCACUUGAACCUGGGAGGUGGAGCUGCAGUGAGCCGAGAUUGCACCACUGCACUCCAGCCUGGGCGACACAGUGAGACCCUGUCUUAAAAAAAUAAUAAUAAUAGAGGAAGCGUUUUGGUCCACUGUCCACUCACACAGGGUUAGGCGGAGAGGAAAAAGCUACUGAGACUGAAGAAUGCCCUUUAACCCCACUUACUGGUUGUUUUGAUUCUUUCCUGUAGUUUCCUGAUAAAAGGUCCUUUGGAAACUUUGAUUCUCUUCUCACCAAGUUGAACGGAGAUGUGUUCCCAUAGUAAGAGUGAGGCCCCUGCAUUUGCUGCCCUCGGUUUUCCCAACUAACACCAGGGCCUCCCCCCUGUACCCCAUUCAUAUGCCUCAGAAGCUGACAAUGACUGUUGGGCUUUUCCAAUGAAUACCAGAACACCAUUUCCUGCAGCCUGAAAAGAAGACAGUAUAAUUGUUUGGCAGCAAGAGGUGAGCAUGGGUAAGGAGGGCGGAACUCUUUCACUCAUACCCACGCCUCCUCCUCUCUCCUUUCCUUUUCCCCAUAUUCUUUCUCCCCAGCCCUUCCCUCCUCCCACCUCCUGACUCUAGCCCAGGCCAGCGAAAUUUUUUCCACUUUUCACUCCCGCCUGAGAAUUUCCGGGGGCCUGAAAGAAGACCUGUUCCCUAGCACUAGUUCAUCGUCUGCUCCACUGAGAAAUAACCAGCUACCAGAAAGUUUGAGAAAUUGAUUUGCAGAAAGAGGGCACCAAAUCAGUUUAGAGUCAGGGUCUGUAGUCAGUAGAGUUGGCAAAUGCCAUUUCCCUGACCCACUGGGUAUCUGAAUACUUGUCAUUGGCCCUUGAGAGCUCAUCAACUGUGGAUGUGCAAUAAGCUUGUCCAGGACCAAAAGUGUCUCUUGCUGCUUAAAUAUCCACCAAAAAGAUUCCACUUGUCAAAGCACCUGCCUCCCUGCACUGACUUCUUUUACCUUCUGUCUCUUUUUUCUCACUUUCACACUGUUCUCUUUUUCUCUUUUCCUGUGCCCUUCUCUCUCUCUGGUUUGAUUUCUUUUUUCCAGGCCAAGCAGGAAACUAGAGAUAUGGUGACGGUAGUGGUCCCAGGGAGGAGCUUUAACCUGAGCACCACCCACAGAAGGCAGACCACCCUCCCAGCCGCAGUGCAAAUGAAUGUUGGCCCCCACCCAGGUCCCCAAGUGCUUUCCCAGUCACGCCCCAGCUGCCAGGUUUUUUUCUCCAGGCCUACUACAGAUGGGUUACCCUGACUCCACCCCCAACACCCUCCAAUGAUUAGAACCACUGACUCCUCCCUCCCAUGCCUGCCUCCAUGGCAGGCCCCUGCAGAAACCAAACAUAGUCACCUUAGACUCUGGCAUACUGAGACCAGGGCUUGAUCCUGGCCCCCUUGCCUCCCUGGCAAUUUAUCAUUUAAUAAAAAUAUUGUUAAAAAAUAUUCAUGCGUCUAAAAUAUGUGUAUUGUUUCAGAAUGUAGCAUCAAAUUACAUCCCAGCUACCCGGGAGGCUGAGGCAGGAGACUCGCUUGAACCCAGGAGGCGGAGGUUGCAGUAAGCUGAGAUUGCGCCACUGCACUCCAGCCUGGGCGACAAGAGUGAAACUCCGUCUUAAAAUAAAAAUUUUAAAAAAUUGGUUUCCCUGGGCACAGGACAUUGCACCGGAUUGGGGAGCAUUUCCCCUACUCUGUUAGGACAUUAUGUAACAAAGACUGAGGGUUCUUGUGUUAUUUAUAACAAAAGGCCAAAAAUAGUUACAUUUGAGUUGGUUCAUGUAGUGAACUAUUGUGUAGCUGUUAAAAGGCAUUUGAAGACUUUUUCAUGACAGAAGGAAAAAGGCAUAUUCCAAAACUGUAUGUACAGUAUGUUCAUAAUUUUAUAAAGUAUCUAUGUGCAUAGGAACUUUGCAGAAAGACACCAAAAUCUCCAGAAGUUGGAAUUCUGGCUGAUUUUUAUUUUAUCAUUUUUUUUUAUUUUCCACAAUGAACAUUAUUAUCAUGAGAAUAAAAGAAAUCCCAUAUUAUAAAA
Molecule: long non-coding RNA, 2765 nt
Organism: Homo sapiens (human)
Lineage: Eukaryota; Metazoa; Chordata; Mammalia; Primates; Hominidae
Source: Ensembl